UCCUCUGGAGACUCUUAAACCCAGCUCAGACCGUGUUCAGGUGGUGCCCGUGUCCCUGCCAUGUCCACAGUGAGGGCUGCCUUCAGGUCUGGCUGGAUCAGGGCUCUGGCUUCUCUCGCCUGUUGCCUUCUCUCUGAGCUUCCUCUUCAGCUGACUUCCCUUUUGGUAGGGACGUGGCCACAGCAGGCCCUGUCCUCAGAGCCACACACGGCUCUAUCUGGGAACAGAGCCGGGAGGGUCCCUCCCCGUUGGUCCGAGGAUUCCCAAGCUUUAUUGUCACGGAGCCGUUAGCGUCCAGAGAGCCUGGGCCAUGCUGGGCACGGACUGCCUGGAGCCUGGCGGGCCUGCGCCGGAGCCGGGGCUGGUCCUCUCGCCCUUGACCUGUGCGUGGUCAGAGGCUGCGGCGGCCCGGCCUGGGGAGGGGGCGUGGCGCUGAGGUGUCCUUCUGUUGCUCCCAGGUGUGAGCACAGCGCCGUCCUUCGACCCUGCAAUGCCACCAGGGACGCGGUUUGUGCCGACAGACCUCACCCACAGCCGGGAGACGGCAGCACGUUGUUCAUCGUUCUGGGGGCCCUGGCCCUGCUCAUCCCCGGCCCCAUCGUGUUCUGCUGUAGAAGACGCAGUAAGUCAGAGUCAGAUGGAUCCUGGAGAAAACCCGAGUGGAAAGAGCGUUGGAAACGGGGUCCGGGCUUCGUGACCAGGCGCUUGGGGUCUGAACGCAGUUCUGGGGCCUCCUCGUCCGGGGGCCCCUCUCGGGUCUGAGCUCAGAGCCGCCGGCCCCGCGCGCCCCGACGUGCGGGGCUUAAGAGCAGAGGCUCAGGUCCGCUGGCGGGAGCCGGGGUGUCCGGGGCGCCCUGGGCCGGGAAGCAGGGACGGACAGGUGCUGCUCCAGCCAAGGGGC
Molecule: long non-coding RNA, 901 nt
Filed under: Sus scrofa (pig)
Lineage: Eukaryota; Metazoa; Chordata; Mammalia; Artiodactyla; Suidae
Description: lncRNA (ENSSSCG00040049745.1)
Source: RNAcentral